Theobroma cacao (cacao) is the source of this 159-nucleotide non-coding RNA. NCBI's taxonomy places the organism in Eukaryota, Viridiplantae, Streptophyta, Magnoliopsida, Malvales, Malvaceae. The record is from RefSeq and is a predicted model, not a curated record.
GGAAAAGUGUGAAAAUUCAAGUAAUCAAGCAAUCAAAGGUGAUGAGCAUUCUGGCAAAAGUAAAGAGAUAGUACCCGAUGAUCAAGAAUCGAAGUACUUGGAAUUCGACUCCCGAAAUAGCUCGGAGAAUUCCAUAGUUAGCUGAUUUUGACAAGGACC